This 21-nucleotide small nuclear RNA is filed under the name Arabidopsis thaliana (thale cress). Its description in RNAcentral is "snRNA_09944". Lineage: Eukaryota; Viridiplantae; Streptophyta; Magnoliopsida; Brassicales; Brassicaceae. The record is from RNAcentral.
UCGGCUGUCAGCGGACUGCUC